AGAGUUUGAUCCUGGCUCAGAUUGAACGCUGGCGGCAUGCCUUACACAUGCAAGUCGAACGGCAGCACGGGAGCAAUCCUGGUGGCGAGUGGCGAACGGGUGAGUAAUAUAUCGGAACGUACCUUGGAGUGGGGGAUAACGUAGCGAAAGUUACGCUAAUACCGCAUAUUCUGUGCGCAGGAAAGCAGGGGAUCUUAGGACCUUGUGCUCUUUGAGCGGCCGAUAUCAGAUUAGCUAGUUGGUGAGGUAAAGGCUCACCGAGGCGACGAUCUGUAGCGGGUCUGAGAGGAUGAUCCGCCACACUGGAACUGAGACACGGUCCAGACUCCUACGGGAGGCAGCAGUGGGGAAUUUUGGACAAUGGGGGCAACCCUGAUCCAGCCAUGCCGCGUGAGUGAAGAAGGCCUUCGGGUUGUAAAGCUCUUUCGGCCGGGAAGAAAUCGCAUCGGUUAAUACCCGGUGUGGAUGACGGUACCGGAAUAAGAAGCACCGGCUAACUACGUGCCAGCAGCCGCGGUAAUACGUAGGGUGCGAGCGUUAAUCGGAAUUACUGGGCGUAAAGCGUGCGCAGGCGGUUUGUUAAGAUAGGCGUGAAAUCCCCGGGCUCAACCUGGGAACUACGCUUAUGACUGGCAGGCUAGAGUACGGCAGAGGGGGGUGGAAUUCCACGUGUAGCAGUGAAAUGCGUAGAGAUGUGGAGGAACACCAAUGGCGAAGGCAGCCCCCUGGGUCGAUACUGACGCUCAUGCACGAA
This 754-nucleotide ribosomal RNA is filed under the name uncultured bacterium. Its description in RNAcentral is "bacterial SSU rRNA". It matches the Rfam family "Bacterial small subunit ribosomal RNA", at positions 8 to 757 of the family's 1533-position model. The record is from RNAcentral.